Molecule: transfer RNA, 76 nt
Filed under: Candidatus Geothermarchaeota archaeon
Lineage: Archaea; Thermoproteati; Candidatus Geothermarchaeota
Also listed under: 2 other names
Description: tRNA-Val
Rfam family: tRNA
About the family: Transfer RNA (tRNA) molecules are approximately 80 nucleotides in length.
Source: RNAcentral
GGGCCCGUGGUCUAGAGGUUAUGACGCCCGCCUGACGCGCGGGAGGUCCCAGGUUCAAAUCCUGGCGGGCCCACCA